GUCAGGAUGGCCGAGUGGUCUAAGGCGCCAGACUAAAGUUCUGGUCUCCAUAUGGAGGUGUGGGUUCUUAUCCAACUUCUGACA
RNAcentral lists this transfer RNA (84 nucleotides) under Dallia pectoralis (Alaska blackfish). Its description in RNAcentral is "tRNA-OTHER". It matches the Rfam family "tRNA". From Rfam's summary of the family: Transfer RNA (tRNA) molecules are approximately 80 nucleotides in length. Their secondary structure includes four short double-helical elements and three loops (D, anti-codon, and T loops). The record is from RNAcentral. Lineage: Eukaryota; Metazoa; Chordata; Actinopteri; Esociformes; Umbridae.